GACAGAGGGGGCAAGCGUUGCUCGGAAUUACUGGGCGUAAAGGGCGCGUAGGCGGAAUGGCAAGUCGGUCGUGAAAUCCUUCGGCUCAACCGAAGAACGUCGAUCAAAACUGCCGUUCUUGAGGAUUGCAGAGGAGACUGGAAUUCCCGGUGUAGCGGUGAAAUGUGUAGAGAUCGGGAGGAACACCGGUGGCGAAGGCGGGUCUCUGGGCAAUUCCUGACGCUGAGGCGCGAAAGCGUGGGGAGCAAACAGG
RNAcentral lists this ribosomal RNA (253 nucleotides) under uncultured bacterium. Its description in RNAcentral is "partial 16S ribosomal RNA". It matches the Rfam family "Bacterial small subunit ribosomal RNA", at positions 524 to 776 of the family's 1533-position model. The record is from RNAcentral.